CCCGGCACAAGCGGUGGAGUAUGUGGUUUAAUUCGAUGCAACGCGAAGAACCUUACCUGGUCUUGACAUCCCGGAGACCCUUAGGAAACUAGGGGGUGCUUCCAUCUGGAAGAAUCUGGAGACAGGUGCUGCACGGCUGUCGUCAGCUCGUGUCGUGAGAUGUUGGGUUAAGUCCCGCAACGAGCGCAACCCUUGCCUUUAGUUGCCAGCAGUUCGGCUGGGCACUCUAAAGGGACUGCCGGUGUUAAACCGGAGGAAGGUGGGGAUGACGUCAAGUCCUCAUGGCCUUUAUGACCAGGGCUACACACGUACUACAAUGGCCGAUACAAAGGGCAGCGACACUGCGAGGUGAAGCCAAUCCCGUAAAAUCGGUCUCAGUCCGGAUUGGAGUCUGCAACUCGACUCCAUGAAGUUGGAAUCGCUAGUAAUCGUGGAUCAGCAUGCCACGGUGAAUACGUUCCCGGGCCUU
RNAcentral lists this ribosomal RNA (469 nucleotides) under uncultured Desulfobulbus sp. RNAcentral's name for it is "bacterial SSU rRNA". It matches the Rfam family "Bacterial small subunit ribosomal RNA", at positions 920 to 1382 of the family's 1533-position model. The record is from RNAcentral. Lineage: Bacteria; Pseudomonadati; Thermodesulfobacteriota; Desulfobulbia; Desulfobulbales; Desulfobulbaceae.